RNAcentral lists this ribosomal RNA (496 nucleotides) under uncultured bacterium. RNAcentral describes it as "partial 16S ribosomal RNA". It matches the Rfam family "Bacterial small subunit ribosomal RNA", at positions 29 to 507 of the family's 1533-position model. The record is from RNAcentral.
AUGCACGCUGGCGGCGUGCCUCAUACAUGCAAGUCGAGCGAACAGACGAGGAGCUUGCUCCUCUGACGUUAGCGGCGGACGGGUGAGUAACACGUGGAUAACCUACCUAUAAGACUGGGAUAACUUCGGGAAACCGGAGCUAAUACCGGAUAAUAUAUUGAACCGCAUGGUUCAAUAGUGAAAGACGGUUUUGCUGUCACUUAUAGAUGGAUCCGCGCCGCAUUAGCUAGUUGGUAAGGUAACGGCUUACCAAGGCGACGAUGCGUAGCCGACCUGAGAGGGUGAUCGGCCACACUGGAACUGAGACACGGUCCAGACUCCUACGGGAGGCAGCAGUAGGGAAUCUUCCGCAAUGGGCGAAAGCCUGACGGAGCAACGCCGCGUGAGUGAUGAAGGUCUUCGGAUCGUAAAACUCUGUUAUUAGGGAAGAACAAAUGUGUAAGUAACUAUGCACGUCUUGACGGUACCUAAUCAGAAAGCCACGGCUAACUACGUG